CAGAGUGCUACAGUCCGACAAUCAGGACUUACAAUAAUGAAAUGCAGGCAUGCUUUAAAAGGGUUUCAUGGGAACGGGUGUUAAGAGAAUUUUUUUUUUUUUGCUUUACCUUAAAAGUCAUUAUUACAGCUUUAAAAUUGGCCAGGAAAAUGAAGUCUUUUCUCUUUAAAGGUAUAAAAGAGUUCGUUUUGCUCAUGGACUAAAUUAUUACUCUUACCUCUGAAUUUCUCUUGCUGGUUGUAGAUAUUUACUUAAUGUAGUUUUGCUUAAAUAUGUGGAAUUAGUUAUUUUUUUUUGUGUCUAUAUAUAAUGUUACCGUUGGUAACGCAUGACAAGCACACAGAAAUUCCCCCUCGAGAAAGAAAUAGUCACUUUUUCCUCACUAAUUUCACUGAAAAGUACAUAUCCUGAACAUGAGAUGGACUUUCUGAGCCAGAGUCUGAGAUUGCAAGGGAGAACGUGUCUUCCUUUAUACUGUGAAGUUAUAUGCAUUAAAGGGUCAAACAUAUGGGUGAAAAAAAAUUAAAAAAGAGAAAAAAAGAAAGAAGGGGAAAAGCUAUAAAUACAGAUAUGGAUAAAUGUCUAUUAUUAUUAAAAUGCCGAUACUGUUUUAAGCAAAUGCAUUAUAUUGUUAUUAUAAAUGUUAGUUCUAGCUAUAUCUAGUUCUUACCUUAAAUCGGAAUAAAUUAAUAUUGUAAUGCUGCUGUGCGUGAAAAAGACGAUGUUUAUGUUCUCAUAGAAGAAUAAAAAAACGUGGAAUGAAUCCUUUUAAUUUUA
Molecule: long non-coding RNA, 777 nt
Organism: Corapipo altera (White-ruffed manakin)
Lineage: Eukaryota; Metazoa; Chordata; Aves; Passeriformes; Pipridae
Exons: 4
Source: RefSeq, a predicted model, not a curated record